Acanthochromis polyacanthus (spiny chromis) is the source of this 1379-nucleotide long non-coding RNA. RefSeq lists it as uncharacterized. The transcript is spliced from 4 exons. The record is from RefSeq and is a predicted model, not a curated record. Lineage: Eukaryota; Metazoa; Chordata; Actinopteri; Pomacentridae.
CCUCCCUGCUCUCCCACUGACAACGGAGCAGCCAUCAGGACCUUUGGGACGGAGGAAAACGACUUUGCCUCCACUGAAACAAGAAAUAACUCUUUCUUCACUCUCAGGCCAGGAACCGCAGAGAUGGGGAUGUCCACCAGCUUUUUACAACCGGCCAGACAGGCACCGGCAGAAUGAUUCAGGGAGGAUUUCUGGAGGCCCAGAUAUGUCUCAGUCAACAGACUCGUCAGCAUCGUCAAACUCACCUCAGACAAGCCAGAGACAAGAGAAGACAUAAAGUUGUCUAUACAGCCACCGUUGGAAGUCCCAAUGCAGAAGGGAUCCAAAGGCUGACACUCGUGAGAAGGCCCACAGAGAGGGACGUCUUCUGGGAUGAGAGCACAGGACAAAGGUUGGACCCCAACUGCCUCCUGGAGCCAAAAUCUCUCUUUGAUGAAGAGACAGAAUAACCAGCCGAACAAACAGCUUCUGUGCACUACGGAUAGAAGAAGAGGUUGAGCUCAUGGUCUUAAAAGCAGGAAGUAAGAAAAGAAAUGUUCAACAAACUGGACAUAGAGGGCUUUUUUUUUGAUAAAGACGUAUCAUGGACAAGUGGAAGGAAAACAGCGAGGAAACGGCUGUAGCAAAGUGCAGAGACGUAGCUGGAUGAGCUGAGUCUGCUUGAAGCUGUCAGACAGCGAGGAUAAGAGGAACAACAGGGAUCCUGGACUGUAAGCUGGAGCAAGAGCACUUCGUAUUGAGUAAUCAGGAUUAGAACAGAUAAAACCUAAAGUCAGGUGAUGCCAAUUAAUUACUAAAUAGCUAUUGCGUAAUUUGGCGAAGACAAAUCUACAUUAACAAAUUCAAGCUUUCUGAAAUGAACAUGUUCUGUCGCUUCUUUUAUGUUUAGGCAUGAAAUCAAACUUACAAUAUGAUGAAAUCUCUUGAUGUUGAGGACAUAUUCCUAAGUUUAUGGUGCCCUCUAGGGAUGAAAGUGAUGCACUGACAUGAGAAGUCUUGCUAGUGGUACAGUGAAUUCUAAAAUUGUACGACACUGAUAUAAAACUUCCCAAACAAAACGUCAGAUUCACUUCAAAGACUCAGGAUUCAGAUCGGCAAGCUUUGAAGCAGGUGCUUGUCUAUUAUUGGAUUCUGGGUGAAGAGAUCGACACAAAAGAAUCCUCCAGUUUCCAAAGAUAUCCUGUUUUUUGAAAGUAAAUAAAAGCCUCUUGAAGAAUAAUCAGACUGAAAACAGGAAACUGCUAAUUGCACCAUCAUUCUUGAAGUGGUCUCCCCGAGUCCAGCUCUUAGCAGACUUAGAGAGGCUGAGAGGAACUGGACUCCUACCAAACACCUGGGGCCACAGCGGCUGACAAAAGCCUGGUCCUCGGGCACGAUGU